This 480-nucleotide long non-coding RNA is filed under the name Homo sapiens (human). Its description in RNAcentral is "LNC_000019". The record is from RNAcentral. Lineage: Eukaryota; Metazoa; Chordata; Mammalia; Primates; Hominidae.
GGGAGAGCGAGCGGGGCCGUGCCCGGCGGCGCGGAGCGGCGCGGCGGAGGCGACGGGAAUCCGGCCGGCCCCGAAGACGGGGAGCCGGCGCGGCGGGGCCGGACGACGGGCCCCGGCGGGGAGGAGGGCACCGAGACCCCCCAGACCCGCCGCGACGCCGCCGAGAACCGCCCCCGCGCCCGCCGACACCCACGGGCGGGCGGGCGCGCGCGCGUACGCGCGGGGAGGGCGAGGAGGACGGGCGGGGCCUCGGAGGAGGGGCGGCGGGGAGGAGGAGGGGCGCGGGAGCGGCGGUCGGCCGGACGCCGGGCCGCCACCGGGGGCGGGCGGCGAACCGCGGCGACCGGGACGCGCUCCCCCGACCCUCUCUCCCCGCCGGCACCCUUCCCCUUCCGGACCCGCCUUCCUCCUCCCCCACCACCACACCGCACGCAACACGCCCCCACCGCCGACGACGCGCGACGACGACGACGACGACGG